RNAcentral lists this ribosomal RNA (547 nucleotides) under uncultured organism. RNAcentral describes it as "bacterial SSU rRNA". It matches the Rfam family "Bacterial small subunit ribosomal RNA", at positions 808 to 1357 of the family's 1533-position model. The record is from RNAcentral.
GAUGCUUACUCGAUGUUUGUACAUGAUACCAGCGUCCAAGCGAAUGCGUUAAGUAAGCCUCCUGGGGAGUACGUUCGCAAGAAUGAAACUCAAAGGAAGUGACGGGGCUCCGCACAAUCUGCUGGAGCAUGUGGUUUAAUUCGAUGAUACGCGAGGAACCUUACCUAGGCUCGAAUGGUCUCGGCCUGUCUCGGAAACCAGAUUUUCGCUUCGGCGACUGAAACCAAGCUGCUGCAUGGUUGUCGUCAGCUCGUGCCGUGAGGUGUUGGGUUAAGUCCCGCAACGAGCGCAACCCUUGUCCUUAGUUGCCAGCAUUUAAGGUGGGGACUCUAAGGAGACUGCCGGCGUAAGCCGUGAGGAAGGUGGGGACGACGUCAAAUCAUCAUGGCCUUUAUGCCUAGGGCUACACACGUGCUACAAUGGUGCAUACAGCGGGUAGCGAAGCUGCGAAGUGGAGCCAAUCCUGAAAAGUGCAUCNCAGUUCGGAUUGAAGUCUGCAACCCGACUUCAUGAAGGUGGNAUCGCUAGUNAUCGCGCAUCAGCCAUG